UACGCAAUCCUGACACAGGGAGGUAGUGACAAUAAAUAACAAUACAGAGCCCUAGUGGUUUUGUAAUUGGAAUGAGUACAAUUUAAAUCCCUUAACGAGGAACAAUUGGAGGGCAAGUCUGGUGCCAGCAGCCGCGGUAAUUCCAGCUCCAAUAGCGUAUAUUAAAGUUGUUGCAGUUAAAAAGCUCGUAGUUGGAUUUUGGUAUGGAUGCGGUGGUCCGCCGAUUGGUGAGUACUGCCGUGUGCAUGCCCCCUCUCAUAGACCUGCGGUGGUCUUAACUGGCUGCUGUAUGGGAUAUGGGAUUUUUACUUUGAAAAAAUUAGAGUGUUCAAAGCAGGCCUUUGCUUGAAUACAUUAGCAUGGAAUAAUGAAAUAGGACCUCGGUUUUAUUUUGUUGGUUUCUAAAACCGAAGUAAUGAUUAAUAGGGAUAGUUGGGGGCAUUAGUAUUUAAUUGUCAGAGGUGAAAUUCUUGGAUUUAUGAAAGACUAACUUCUGCGAAAGCAUUUGCCAAGGAUGUUUUCAUUAAUCAAGAACGAAAGUUAGGGGAUCGAAGACGAUUAGAUACCGUCGUAGUCUUAACCAUAAACUAUGCCGACUAGGGAUCGGGGGGACGCGUUUCGCGCUCCUCGGCACCUUAUGAGAAAUCAAAGUUUUUGGGUUCCGGGGGGAGUAUGGUCGCAAGGCUGAAACUUAAAGGAAUUGACGGAAGGGCACCACCAGGGGUGGAGCCUGCGGCUUAAUUUGA
This 746-nucleotide ribosomal RNA is filed under the name uncultured eukaryote. RNAcentral's name for it is "bacterial SSU rRNA". It matches the Rfam family "Eukaryotic small subunit ribosomal RNA", at positions 442 to 1198 of the family's 1831-position model. The record is from RNAcentral.